GUGAGGAAUAUUGCGCAAUGGAGGCAACUCUGACGCAGCCAUGCCGCGUGCAGGAAGAAGGCGCUACGCGUUGUAAACUGCUUUUAACCGGGAAGAAACCCCAGGACGUGUCCUGGGUUGACGGUACCGGAGGAAUAAGCACCGGCUAACUUCGUGCCAGCAGCCGCGGUAAUACGAAGGGUGCAAGCGUUAUCCGGAUUCAUUUGGUUUAAAGGGUGCGUAGGCGGAUCGUUAAGUCAGUGGUGAAACUCUGCAGCUUAACUGUAGACUUGCCAUUGAUACUGGCGCUCUUGAGUGCGCUUGAAGUGGGCGGAAUGUGACGUGUAGCGGUGAAAUGCUUAGAUAUGGCACAGAACACCAAUUGCGAAGGCAGCUCACUAAGGCGAUACUGACGCUGAGGCACGAAAGCGUGGGGAUCGAACAGGAUUAGAAACCCGGGUAGUCC
Molecule: ribosomal RNA, 445 nt
Filed under: uncultured bacterium
Lineage: Bacteria
Description: partial 16S ribosomal RNA
Rfam family: Bacterial small subunit ribosomal RNA
Source: RNAcentral